This 974-nucleotide ribosomal RNA is filed under the name Scutylenchus quercinus. RNAcentral's name for it is "SSU rRNA". It matches the Rfam family "Eukaryotic small subunit ribosomal RNA", at positions 468 to 1474 of the family's 1831-position model. The record is from RNAcentral. Lineage: Eukaryota; Metazoa; Nematoda; Chromadorea; Rhabditida; Merliniidae.
UGACGAGAAAUAACGAGACCGUUCUCUACGAGGCCGGUCAUCGGAAUGGGUACAAUUUAAACCCUUUAACGAGUAUCUAUGAGAGGGCAAGUCUGGUGCCAGCAGCCGCGGUAAUUCCAGCUCUCAAAAUGCAUAGAAUUAUUGCUGCGGUUAAAAAGCUCGUAGUUGGAUCUGUGCCGGUGGACCCGGUCCACUCGAAAGGGUGCGCACUGGGCUCCCCGGCUUUCUGCUGGUUUUCCCGUCGUGGCCUUAACUGGUUGCGGCGGGUGGCUGGCGAUUUUACUUUGAACAAAUCAGAGUGCUUAAAACAGGCGUUUCGCUUGAAUGUUCGUGCAUGGAAUAAUAGAAAAGGAUUUCGGUUCUAUUUUAUUGGUUUUAUAGACUGAGAUAAUGGUUAACAGAGACAAACGGGGGCAUUCGUAUUGCUGCGUGAGAGGUGAAAUUCUUGGACCGCAGCAAGACGAACUACAGCGAAAGCAUUUGCCAAGAAUGUCUUCAUUAAUCAAGAACGAAAGUCAGAGGUUCGAAGGCGAUCAGAUACCGCCCUAGUUCUGACCGUAAACGAUGCCAACUAGCGAUCCGCCGGCGGAUGCAUUGCCCUGGUGGGGAGCUUCCCGGAAACGAAAGUCUUCCGGUUCCGGGGGAAGUAUGGUUGCAAAGCUGAAACUUAAAGGAAUUGACGGAAGGGCACCACCAGGAGUGGAGCCUGCGGCUUAAUUUGACUCAACACGGGAAAACUCACCCGGCCCGGACACCGUAAGGAUUGACAGAUUGAUAGCUUUUUCAUGAUUCGGUGGAUGGUGGUGCAUGGCCGUUCUUAGUUCGUGGAGCGAUUUGUCUGGUUUAUUCCGAUAACGAGCGAGACUCUAGCCUACUAAAUAGUCUGCACAUUGCUUUGUGUCGCAGUACUUCUUAGAGGGAUUUUCGGUGUACAGCCGCACGAAAUUGAGCAAUAACAGGUCUGUGAUGCCCUU